CUAUUAGUAUAGAAGAUACUAUCUUGACAGAUCUUCUGGGACUCCAUAAUGUAGAAGAAAUCCAUGGUAUAGUUCACAGAGCUGUGCUAAAGUUGGGUACUUGAAACGAACAAGCUGAAUGUGGGCUGCCAUGGAAUUUUCUUAUGAAGAGCAUCACAGGAACAGAGCUGCUUUAUUAGUCAGUUGAUCAGCUGCUUGGGACUCUAGAUAACAAUCAAAUUUCUGUUAUCUGCAAAUAACUUCCACCUGUCAAGAAUGAAGUCUUCUUAUGCCUUGAUUUCUAAAACUGGGCUGUUUGGAAUAUCGGAGGGGAGUUUCCACGUAGCCAAACGUACCUUCUCAUUUCUCUGGUUGUAUUUCACUCUCUUAGACUUCUUGGUCUGAACCAGUACGAAGAACAUGUUCUGUUUCAUUUCCCAGAAAGGAAAUGUCAGGGAGGCCACAGUCUGAAUGGGCAAAUACAUGCAGUUCACCUCUUAAAGAUGGAUUCUCCAAGAUACAUUUGAGUGCAUGGAAAUAGGAAAGACUGUAUUGUUUGUGCUUACACUGUCUGCAGAACAAUGUGACUCAGACUUUUACAUUUGGAGCUCUAAGAUUAUAUCGCUGUAUGUUUACACCAAAUGGAUAUAUAAACUAAAACAAUGCUAUCCCAGUAAUUGGAAAAGACUCCCUGAGAAUUAAAUCCUACUGAAGAGACAGCGUGGAGAGAGAAAAAGGGGAAAAAAGAGCAAAAACAACCUCUCAGUUCAAGUCUUUAAAGAAUGUUGAUGUAAAUGGUAUCCUUUGUAAAGGUUAAUGAGAUGAGCUUCCUAUUUUGUCAGUAUAGAUUGUAGCAUUUAUACUACAUGUGCAGGUUUAUGCUUUUUUCUUUUUAUCAAAAGGUAGAUUCUCAGUUUCAAUACCCUGAUGAAACUGUACAAAAAAUAAUGUGUCCCUAUAUCAUGGAGACCUAUGAAGAAAAGCACAGGGAACACUGGGUUUUUGGCUACUCAGCCCAGGUUGAACUUAUGGGUUCACAAAUCUGAUGGGUUUCAGAUGCACAAAUGCAUUCUCUAGACUGGAAGAGGGCAUGGGUUAGCCCUGAAGAUUACCAUAAGAAACAUGUAUGCAUACCUUGUUUUUGUUUAAUUCACUGAAAAUCUGCACA
Long non-coding RNA from Lagopus muta (rock ptarmigan), 1147 nucleotides. RefSeq lists it as uncharacterized. Lineage: Eukaryota; Metazoa; Chordata; Aves; Galliformes; Phasianidae. The transcript is spliced from 4 exons. The record is from RefSeq and is a predicted model, not a curated record.